GGACGGGAAGAUGGCAGAGGGGAGGGAGGCCUAGGCUCUCCUUCCCUCCCUCUCUCACACAGCUCCGGGUGGGGAGCAACACCUUCUCCGCGACGUGGAGCUUCGGAGAGUUCACUCACCCCACCCGCACGGUGUUGAAAAUACAUUUUGAGGACAUUCUGUGGAAAGCGGCCAGUGAAGGAGUGGAGAUUUGAGGUUUUGACUCGAGAGGCUUCGACGAGAAGAGGCAGAGGACGAGCUUCACUCCAAGUGAGACAGUGGCCUCAUCGUGGCAAAAGAGGGGACCAUGGACCAACAUAUCAGAAUGGGAAAGGAGAUAGAAAUUAAAAAGGCUGGCACAGUUCCCUUACAACAGUUUGCAAAACUUUGUGCAUACUCAACAGACCUUGAAAAAAAUUGAAUUCAAGGCUGUAGGGAGUGAAAAACUGAUUACAUUAUACUGCAGACAUCCCACCCUGCAAAAGCAAACACGAGGAAAUCUGCAGAUGCUGGAAAUUCAAGCAACGCACACAAAAAAUGCUGGUGGAAUGCAGCAGGCCAGGCAGCAUCAAUAGGAAGAAGCGCUGUCGACGUUUUGGGCCGAGACCCUUCGUCAGGACUAACUGACAGGAAAGAUAGUAAGAGAUUUGAAAGUUGGAGAAUGAUAGGAGAAGACCGAAGGGGGUGGGGUGAAGCUGAGAGCCAGAAAGGUGAUUGGCACCUAUCAUGAGGUGAUUAUAAAGCAUCCACACCAGGACACACCAGACUCAAGAAUAGUUACUUUCCCCAAGUAGUGAGGCUGAUCAACACCUCCACCCAUUAACCCACCCCUCCACACCCUCCACCAC
Molecule: long non-coding RNA, 827 nt
Organism: Hypanus sabinus (Atlantic stingray)
Lineage: Eukaryota; Metazoa; Chordata; Chondrichthyes; Myliobatiformes; Dasyatidae
Exons: 4
Source: RefSeq, a predicted model, not a curated record